RNAcentral lists this ribosomal RNA (253 nucleotides) under uncultured bacterium. RNAcentral describes it as "partial 16S ribosomal RNA". It matches the Rfam family "Bacterial small subunit ribosomal RNA", at positions 524 to 776 of the family's 1533-position model. The record is from RNAcentral.
UACGGAGGGUGCGAGCGUUAAUUGGAAUCACUGGGCGUAAAGCGCGCGUAGGCGGCUUCUCAAGUCAGGGGCGAAAUCCCACGGCCCAACCGUGGAACUGCCUUUGAAACUGUAGAGCUUGAGUGUCGGAGAGGGUGGCGGAAUUCCAGGUGUAGGAGUGAAAUCCGUAGAUAUCUGGAGGAACACCGGUGGCGAAGGCGGCCACUUGGACGACAACUGACGCUGAGGUGCGAAAGCGUGGGUAGCAAACAGG